This 253-nucleotide ribosomal RNA is filed under the name uncultured bacterium. RNAcentral's name for it is "partial 16S ribosomal RNA". It matches the Rfam family "Bacterial small subunit ribosomal RNA", at positions 524 to 776 of the family's 1533-position model. The record is from RNAcentral.
UACAGGGGGGGCAAGCGUUGUUCGGAAUUACUGGGCGUAAAGGGCUCGUAGGCCGCCAACUAAGUCAGACGUGAAAUCCCUCAGCUUAACUGGGGAACUGCGUCUGAUACUGGAUGGCUUGGAUUCGGGAGAGGAAUGCGGAAUUCCAGGUGUAGCGGUGAAAUGCGUAGAUAUCUGGAGGAACACCGGUGGCGAAGGCGGGUCUCUGGGCCGAUACUGACGCUGAGGAGCGAAAGCGUGGGGAGCGAACAGG